CAGCAGCCGCGGGAACACGUAGGGUGCGAGCGUUAAUCGGAAUUACUGGGCGUAAAGCGUGCGCAGGCGGUUGUGUAAGACAGGUGUGAAAUCCCCGGGCUUAACCUGGGAACUGCGCUUGUGACUGCACAGCUAGAGUAUGGCAGAGGGGGGUGGAAUUCCACGUGUAGCAGUGAAAUGCGUAGAGAUGUGGAGGAACACCGAUGGCGAAGGCAGCCCCCUGGGCCAAUACUGACGCUCAUGCACGAAAGCGUGGGGAGCAAACAGGAUUAGAUACCCGAGUAGUCCCUGUCUCUUAUAA
This 301-nucleotide ribosomal RNA is filed under the name uncultured bacterium. RNAcentral's name for it is "partial 16S ribosomal RNA". It matches the Rfam family "Bacterial small subunit ribosomal RNA", at positions 509 to 809 of the family's 1533-position model. The record is from RNAcentral.